UACGUAGGGUGCGAGCGUUGUCCGGAAUUACUGGGCGUAAAGAGCUCGUAGGUGGUUUGUCGCGUUGUUCGUGAAAACCGGGGGCUUAACCCUCGGCGUGCGGGCGAUACGGGCAGACUUGAGUACUGCAGGGGAGACUGGAAUUCCUGGUGUAGCGGUGGAAUGCGUAGAUAUCUGGAGGAACACCGGUGGCGAAGGCGGCAUCCUGGACCAACACUGACGCUGAGUGAGCGAAAGCCAGGGGAGCAAACGGG
Molecule: ribosomal RNA, 254 nt
Filed under: uncultured bacterium
Lineage: Bacteria
Description: partial 16S ribosomal RNA
Rfam family: Bacterial small subunit ribosomal RNA
Source: RNAcentral